This 380-nucleotide ribosomal RNA is filed under the name uncultured bacterium. RNAcentral describes it as "bacterial SSU rRNA". It matches the Rfam family "Bacterial small subunit ribosomal RNA", at positions 518 to 898 of the family's 1533-position model. The record is from RNAcentral.
CGGUAAUACGUAGGGUGCGAGCGUUAAUCGGAAUUACUGGGCGUAAAGCGUGCGCAGGCGGUGAUGUAAGACAGUUGUGAAAUCCCCGGGCUCAACCUGGGAAUUGCAUCUGUGACUGCAUCGCUAGAGUACGGUAGAGGGGGAUGGAAUUCCGCGUGUAGCAGUGAAAUGCGUAGAUAUGCGGAGGAACACCGAUGGCGAAGGCAAUCCCCUGGACCUGUACUGACGCUCAUGCACGAAAGCGUGGGGAGCAAACAGGAUUAGAUACCCUGGUAGUCCRCGCCCUAAACGAUGUCAACUGGUUGUUGGGUGCAUUAGUACUCAGUAACGAAGCUAACGCGUGAAGUUGACCGCCUGGGGAGUACGGCCGCAAGGUUGAA